RNAcentral lists this ribosomal RNA (253 nucleotides) under uncultured bacterium. RNAcentral's name for it is "partial 16S ribosomal RNA". It matches the Rfam family "Bacterial small subunit ribosomal RNA", at positions 524 to 776 of the family's 1533-position model. The record is from RNAcentral.
UACAGGGGGGGCAAGCGUUGUUCGGAAUUACUGGGCGUAAAGGGCUCGUAGGUGGCCAACUAAGUCAGACGUGAAAUCCCUCAGCUUAACUGGGGAACUGCGUCUGAUACUGGAUGGCUUGAGUGUAGGAGAGGAAUGCGGAAUUCCAGGUGUAGCGGUGAAAUGCGUAGAUAUCUGGAGGAACACCGGUGGCGAAGGCGGCAUUCUGGACUACAACUGACACUGAGGAACGAAAGCCAGGGGAGCAAACGGG